This 453-nucleotide ribosomal RNA is filed under the name uncultured bacterium. RNAcentral's name for it is "bacterial SSU rRNA". It matches the Rfam family "Bacterial small subunit ribosomal RNA", at positions 340 to 786 of the family's 1533-position model. The record is from RNAcentral.
UACGGAAGGCAGCAGUGGGGAAUAUUGCACAAUGGGCGCAAGCCUGAUGCAGCCAUGCCGCGUGUAUGAAGAAGGCCUUCGUGUUGUAAAGUACUUUCAGUCGUGAGGAAGGUGUUAAGGUUAAUAACCUUAGCAAUUGACGUUAGCGACAGAAGAAGCACCGGCUAACUCCGUGCCAGCAGCCGCGGUAAUACGGAGGGUGCGAGCGUUAAUCGGAAUUACUGGGCGUAAAGGGCACGCAGGCGGUUAAUUAAGUUGGAUGUGAAAUCCCCGGGCUUAACCUGGGAAUGGCAUUCAAGACUGGUUAGCUAGAGUCUUGUAGAGGGGGUAGAAUUCCAUGUGUAGCGGUGAAAUGCGUAGAGAUGUGGAGGAAUACCGGUGGCGAAGGCGGCCCCUGGGACAAAGACUGACGCUCAUGUGCGAAAGCGUGGGGAGCAAACAGGAUUAGAUACC